GAUGAACGCUGGCGGCGUGCCUAAUACAUGCAAGUCGAGCGAACGGACGAGAAGCUUGCUUCUCUGAUGUUAGCGGCGGACGGGUGAGUAGCACGUGGAUAACCUACCUAUAAGACUGGGAUAACUUCGGGAAACCGGAGCUAAUACCGGAUAAUAUUUUGAACCGCAUGGUUCAAAAGUGAAAGACGGUCUUGCCGUCACUUAUAGAUGGAUCCGCGCUGCAUUAGCUAGUUGGUAAGGUAACGGCUUACCAAGGCAACGUUGCAUAGCCGACCUGAGAGGGUGAUCGGCCACACUGGAACUGAGACACGGUCCAGACUCCUACGGGAGGCAGCAGUAGGGAAUCUUCCGCAAUGGGCGAAAGCCUGACGGAGCAACGCCGCGUGAGUGAUGAAGGUCUUCGGAUCGUAAAACUCUGUUAUUAGGGAAGAACAUAUGUGUAAGUAACUGUGCACAUCUUGACGGUACCUAAUCAGAAAGCCACGGCUAACUACGUG
Molecule: ribosomal RNA, 497 nt
Filed under: uncultured bacterium
Lineage: Bacteria
Description: partial 16S ribosomal RNA
Rfam family: Bacterial small subunit ribosomal RNA
Source: RNAcentral